GAUAUGCCAUUUCUGAGACACAA
RNAcentral lists this non-coding RNA (23 nucleotides) under Cricetulus griseus (Chinese hamster). Lineage: Eukaryota; Metazoa; Chordata; Mammalia; Rodentia; Cricetidae. The record is from RNAcentral.